This 253-nucleotide ribosomal RNA is filed under the name uncultured bacterium. Its description in RNAcentral is "partial 16S ribosomal RNA". It matches the Rfam family "Bacterial small subunit ribosomal RNA", at positions 524 to 776 of the family's 1533-position model. The record is from RNAcentral.
UACAGAGGGGGCAAGCGUUGUUCGGAAUUACUGGGCGUAAAGGGCGCGUAGGCGGCCGCCUAAGUCAGACGUGAAAUCCCUCGGCUCAACCGGGGAACUGCGUCUGAUACUGGGUGGCUUGAAUCCGGGAGAGGGAUGCGGAAUUCCUGGUGUAGCGGUGAAAUGCGCAGAUAUCAGGAAGAACACCCGUGGCGAAGGCGGUUCUCUGGGACGGUACUGACGCUGAGACGCGAAAGCGUGGGGAGCGAACAGG